RNAcentral lists this long non-coding RNA (1641 nucleotides) under Marmota monax (woodchuck). Lineage: Eukaryota; Metazoa; Chordata; Mammalia; Rodentia; Sciuridae. The record is from RNAcentral.
GAUCCUCCUGGCUCAGCCUCCCCAGUUGGUGGGAUUAUAGGUUGUGCCACCAUACUUUUUUUUUUUUUUAAUGUAAAAUUUGACAUUUUCCAAAUGUUCUACGAUAACAUUAUGUUUGGAAAAACCAUGUUAAGAGCUGUGGCUCAGUGGUAGCACACUUGCCUAGCAUGUGUGAGGCACUGGGUUCUAUUCGUAAAAUAAAGGACUAUCAACAACUAAAAAUAAAUAAAUAAAUAAACAAACAAAUACAUAAAUGAAUAAAAGAAAAACCAUGUUAAUUUAUAAAUACGGGUUCUCAAGCCUUCAACUUGGUUCCAGGCUAGCAGUUCUUUCUUCUAGUGAUUUUCAUAGGCCAAGACAGCCUAUCAGAGUUCCUGGGGUUCCUGGGAUGAGUGGGCUGGUGAGGAGGGCUCCCUAGGACUUCAUAUGCCAGUUGGCCCUCAGGGACUUCUUCCCUGAGAUUUUAGGGCUUGUGGGCAGGCUUCUCCCCAGCCAGGUCCUUCUGCAGCCACAUCCAGCUUGGCAUUCCUGAGGCUGGCCUGGGGCUUCACUCCCUGGUUCAGGCUAGGGGAGCUAGCAGACCCUACCUCAAGUCUUGGCUCACUCUCCUGCCCCUUGAAGCAGGGUCACAUCUUGGCCAAUCUUAGAUAAACAGCCGGAAAAACUCAACCUAUCAUUUUUCUUUCUGAUCAGAAGUUAAUGUUUGGAAAAUAAAUGACUUUAAAAAUAAAUACUUCACCCACAAUCCCCACUAGGUCUGUUGGGGAUGGCUGGAGAGGCAGCCUUGCUCCACCAGCCUUCAGUCCCACAAGGUCCUGCAACUGUGCCUCACCCCCCAACCUAUUCCCAAGCUGCUGAGGAGACCCUGGCCAAGUCCCUGCUGUCCUGGCGUUGUCAGCAGGGGUUCUGGGUGCUUACCCAGAGUGGGCCACCAUGCCGCUGGUAAUGCUUGCUCAGUGUGUAGCUCCUGCGGAAUGCCUCCGUGAAGGGCUUUCUCUUGCGUAUGGAUCUUCUGGUGUGGGGUAAGGUUGGACUUGCAGCCGAAGGCAUUGCCACACUGCCCACGUGAAGGGCCGCUCGCUGGUGUGCACCGCAGGUGCAGGAUGAGUAGUGAGUGGUGUCGGUAGGUGUAGGAGACCAACCUCACACAUGACUGAGUCAUUCCCCGGCUGGGUGCUGAGGCGCUCAGUCACAGAAAUGUAGCAGAGCUUUCCUCACCCUUCUUGGAUUCGAGGGUUGGUGUCUGGUGCAUGGGUGUGUCUUGCUACAGCCCCAUGGGUGAAGCUAUGCUCACCGUCCCUUUGUAAUAUAACCCCUUGCCCUGUUUAGGGUAGAAUCUUCCAUGGAAGUGUCUUGUGUGUGUCCCCUUCUCUUACUGUGCCCUUGGGUGUGGCCUACCGAGGUGUCAGUCAACCUGCUGACAGUGGACAUCAUGAAGAUAGACUCAGCCCCCUGAAACCUGACCCCUUGCCUCAUUUAAAUAACUUCUCAAUAAAAGGGGUCAGUGUGUGCUAUGGCUCUCUCUCUUCCUGCGUACACUUAAGGUCAGAGGAGCCGUCACAGCGACCCCAAAGAAAAAGGUAUUGUGUCUCUUGUGUGGUUAUUUUGUGCAGCCAAGUUAGCCCAGCUCAACUGGAGUGA